Molecule: ribosomal RNA, 495 nt
Filed under: uncultured bacterium
Lineage: Bacteria
Description: partial 16S ribosomal RNA
Rfam family: Bacterial small subunit ribosomal RNA
Source: RNAcentral
GACGAACGCUGGCGGCGUGCCUAAUACAUGCAAGUAGAACGCUGAAGGAGGAGCUUGCUCUUCUGGAUGAGUUGCGAACGGGUGAGUAACGCGUAGGUAACCUGCCUGGUAGCGGGGGAUAACUAUUGGAAACGAUAGCUAAUACCGCAUAACAGUAGAUGUUGCAUGACAUUUACUUAAAAGGUGCAAUUGCAUCACUACCAGAUGGACCUGCGUUGUAUUAGCUAGUUGGUGGGGUAACGGCUCACCAAGGCGACGAUACAUAGCCGACCUGAGAGGGUGAUCGGCCACACUGGGACUGAGACACGGCCCAGACUCCUACGGGAGGCAGCAGUAGGGAAUCUUUGGCAAUGGACGGAAGUCUGACCGAGCAACGCCGCGGGAGUGAAGAAGGUUUUCGGAUCGUAAAGCUCUGUUGUAAGAGAAGAACGAGUGUGAGAGUGGAAAGUUCACACUGUGACGGUAUCUUACCAGAAAGGGACGGCUAACUACGUG